GACGAACGCUGGCGGCGUGCUUAACACAUGCAAGUCGAACGGAAAGGCCCUGCUUUUGUGGGGUGCUCGAGUGGCGAACGGGUGAGUAACACGUGAGUAACCUGCCCUUGACUUUGGGAUAACUUCAGGAAACUGGGGCUAAUACCGUAUAGGAGCUCCUGCUGCAUGGUGGGGGUUGGAAAGUUUCGGCGGUUGGGGAUGGACUCGCGGCUUAUCAGCUUGUUGGUGGGGUAGUGGCUUACCAAGGCUUUGACGGGUAGCCGGCCUGAGAGGGUGACCGGCCACAUUGGGACUGAGAUACGGCCCAGACUCCUACGGGAGGCAGUAGUGGGGAAUAUUGCACAAUGGGCGGAAGCCUGAUGCAGCAACGCCGCGUGCGGGAUGACGGCCUUCGGGUUGUAAACCGCUUUCGCCUGUGACGAAGCGUGAGUGACGGUAAUGGGUAAAGAAGCACCGGCUAACUACGUG
This 468-nucleotide ribosomal RNA is filed under the name uncultured bacterium. Its description in RNAcentral is "partial 16S ribosomal RNA". It matches the Rfam family "Bacterial small subunit ribosomal RNA", at positions 28 to 507 of the family's 1533-position model. The record is from RNAcentral.